UCUUUUGGCCGCGCCGCUGCCUCUCUUGUGCUUGCGUCUGCGAAGGGGAGGAAGGAGACGAUGAGGCCUUGCAGGCGCCGAGGUUUGUUUCAUUUGCCACGUGGGGUGGCAGGAGGGAGGAUGGAUCCUGACCCACCUACUUAGUAGAAGCUAACUGCCCUAAAGGGAGCUGAAGCUACCCUCUUCCCAAGAGGAGCAUUCCUGAUUCCUGUAGCCCUGGCUUCAAAGAGGGCGAGAAGAAGCAACUGCCUGUUUUCUCCUCUGGGUGGCAGCAGGGUCAAGAACAGAGGGCAAUGGAUUUCCAAGAGCCUGGAAAAGCCAAGUGCUUCCCAGCAAAGAGGUUAGUGGCUGAUGACUUGUUACCACACACAGCUCAAAAGCUGCCUCCCCAGCAUUUUCUUCAAGACCUUCCCAUGUGCGCCUCUGUCUCUUUGCAUAUGGCAUACCUGGCAGUGUGGUUGUGACUCCUGGAAAACAAGUGGAGGCUCCUUCCAAUCCAACUUCAUCUUUGCGAAGUUUUGGGAACAGGGCAGAGGACAGAAACCUCUUUUGAAAUGUCUCUUCUGUCUGUAUGUGGCCGCAAAUAUUUACAAGCUGUGAGAGAAUAAAAGUUGAAUGUACAACUUUCAGACAA
Zootoca vivipara (common lizard) is the source of this 634-nucleotide long non-coding RNA. RefSeq lists it as uncharacterized. NCBI's taxonomy places the organism in Eukaryota, Metazoa, Chordata, Lepidosauria, Squamata, Lacertidae. The record is from RefSeq and is a predicted model, not a curated record.